GCGGGUGUAGCUCAGCGGUAGAGUGCUUGCUUAGCAUGUGCAAGUCCCUGGGUUCAGUCCCCAGCACUGCA
This 71-nucleotide transfer RNA is filed under the name Marmota marmota marmota (Alpine marmot). It matches the Rfam family "tRNA". Rfam says of the family: Transfer RNA (tRNA) molecules are approximately 80 nucleotides in length. Their secondary structure includes four short double-helical elements and three loops (D, anti-codon, and T loops). The record is from Rfam by way of RNAcentral. RNAcentral also lists the same sequence under 1 other name. Lineage: Eukaryota; Metazoa; Chordata; Mammalia; Rodentia; Sciuridae.